This is a small nuclear RNA of Syzygium oleosum, 104 nucleotides long. NCBI's taxonomy places the organism in Eukaryota, Viridiplantae, Streptophyta, Magnoliopsida, Myrtales, Myrtaceae. The record is from RefSeq and is a predicted model, not a curated record.
GUCUCCCCGGAGACAUCCGAUAAAAUUGAAAAGAUACAGAGAUGAUUAGCACAGGCCCUUGCGCAAGGAUGAUGGGCGCAAAUUGAGAAACGGUUUCAUUUUUU